This 248-nucleotide ribosomal RNA is filed under the name uncultured bacterium. Its description in RNAcentral is "partial 16S ribosomal RNA". It matches the Rfam family "Bacterial small subunit ribosomal RNA", at positions 796 to 1041 of the family's 1533-position model. The record is from RNAcentral.
CAUGCCGUAAACGAUGAUUGCUAGGUGUGGGAGGUCUGACCCCUUCCGUGCCGGAGCUAACGCAAUAAGCAAUCCACCUGGGGAGUACGGCCGCAAGGUUGAAACUCAAAGGAAUUGACGGGGGCCCGCACAAGCAGUGGAGUAUGUGGUUUAAUUCGAAGCAACGCGAAGAACCUUACCAGGUCUUGACAUCCACCGAAUCCUGUAGAGAUACGGGAGUGCCCUUCGGGGAACGGUGAGACAGGUGG